UACGAAGGGGGCUAGCGUUGCUCGGAAUCACUGGGCGUAAAGCGCACGUAGGCGGAUUGCCAAGUCAGGGGUGAAAUCCUGGAGCUCAACUCCAGAACUGCCUUUGAUACUGGCGACCUUGAGUCCGGGAGAGGUGAGUGGAACUGCGAGUGUAGAGGUGAAAUUCGUAGAUAUUCGCAAGAACACCAGUGGCGAAGGCGGCUCACUGGCCCGGUACUGACGCUGAGGUGCGAAAGCGUGGGGAGCAAACGGG
RNAcentral lists this ribosomal RNA (253 nucleotides) under uncultured bacterium. RNAcentral's name for it is "partial 16S ribosomal RNA". It matches the Rfam family "Bacterial small subunit ribosomal RNA", at positions 524 to 776 of the family's 1533-position model. The record is from RNAcentral.